RNAcentral lists this ribosomal RNA (377 nucleotides) under uncultured bacterium. RNAcentral describes it as "bacterial SSU rRNA". It matches the Rfam family "Bacterial small subunit ribosomal RNA", at positions 521 to 896 of the family's 1533-position model. The record is from RNAcentral.
UAAUACAGAGGGAGUAAGCGUUGUUCGGAUUUACUGGGCGUAAAGCGCGCGCAGGCGGGCGAAUAAGUCGGACGUGAAAAUUGUGGGCUCAACCUACAACCUGCGUCCGAAACUGUUUGUCUUGAGUACAGGAGAGGUGAGUGGAAUCUAUGGUGUAGCGGUGAAAUGCGUAGAUAUCAUAGAGAACACCGGUGGCGAAGGCGGCUCACUGGCCUGAUACUGACGCUGAGGCGCGAAAGCUAGGGGAGCGAACAGGAUUAGAUACCCUGGUAGUCCUAGCCGUAAACGAUGGGCACUAGGUGUUGGAGGUGUUGACCCCUUCAGUGCCGUAGCUAACGCAUUAAGUGCCCCGCCUGGGGAGUACGGUCGCAAGGCUG